Molecule: ribosomal RNA, 413 nt
Filed under: uncultured microorganism
Description: bacterial SSU rRNA
Rfam family: Archaeal small subunit ribosomal RNA
Source: RNAcentral
CAGCCGCGCGGUAAUACCGGCGGCCCGAGUGGCGGCCACUAUUAUUGGGCUUAAAGCGUCCGUAGCCGGGUUGGUUAGUCUCCCGGGAAAUCUGGCCGCUUAACGGUCAGAAUUCCGGGAGAUACUGCCAGCCUAGGGACCGGGAGAGGCCGAGGGUAUUCCCGGAGUAGGGGUGAAAUCCUAUAAUCCCGGGAGGACCACCGGUGGCGAAGGCGCUCGGCUGGAACGGGUCCGACGGUGAGGGACGAAGGCCAGGGGAGCAAACCGGAUUAGAUACCCGGGUAGUCCUGGCUGUAAACGAUGCGGACUUUGUGUCGGACAAGCUAUGAGCUUGUCCGGUGCCGGAGGGAAACCGUUAAGUCCGCCGCCUGGGGAGUACGGCCGCAAGGCUGAAACUUAAAGGAAUUGGCGGG